GAUGAACGCUAGCUACAGGCUUAACACAUGCAAGUCGCAGGGUAACAUGAGGAAAGCUUGCUUUCCUUGAUGACGACUGGCGCACGGGUGAGUAACGCGUAUCCAACCUUCCCAUAACUACGGGAUAACCCGUUGAAAGACGGCCUAAUACCGUAUGAUAUCGUUUGCUGACAUCAAAUAACGAUUAAAGGUUUAGCGGUUAUGGAUGGGAUGCGUCUGAUUAGCUUGUUGGCGGGGUAACGGCCCACCAAGGCGACGAUCAGUAGGGGUUCUGAGAGGAAGGUCCCCCACAUUGGAACUGAGACACGGUCCAAACUCCUACGGGAGGCAGCAGUGAGGAAUAUUGGUCAAUGGGCGAGAGCCUGAACCAACCAAGUAGCGUGCAGGACGACGGCCCUAUGGGUUGUAAACUGCCUUUAUGUGGGGAUAAAGUGCGUGACGUGUCAUGCAUUGCAGGUACCACAUGAAUAAGGACCGGCUAAUUCCGUG
RNAcentral lists this ribosomal RNA (489 nucleotides) under uncultured bacterium. RNAcentral's name for it is "partial 16S ribosomal RNA". It matches the Rfam family "Bacterial small subunit ribosomal RNA", at positions 28 to 507 of the family's 1533-position model. The record is from RNAcentral.